This is a long non-coding RNA of Trifolium pratense (red clover), 1590 nucleotides long. RefSeq lists it as uncharacterized. Lineage: Eukaryota; Viridiplantae; Streptophyta; Magnoliopsida; Fabales; Fabaceae. The record is from RefSeq and is a predicted model, not a curated record. The transcript has 5 exons.
CACAAAAAUCUUGAGCACACGAUCUCAUCUAUAAACCCUAAUAUCCAAAGGUAACAAAAUCAUCUUCUUCAAUCGAAUUCCUUCAAACCCUAAGAAUCGAACUCAUCUUCCUGCAAUCGAAUUCUGCAAUCGAAUCCCUAACCCAUAACCCAUAAAUUAUCUUCUCUCCACCAUAUACGCAUCAAUUAAUCUUUCACAAUUCGUACUCGUUUGUCACCGUGCUCGUCACAACGUUCGCGUUGCGCUGUCACAACUCAAACCAUCGUUAUUAAGGUUUUGCUUUCUUAGGUGUGGUUUUGUGCAUUCAUUUUUCAAUAUGGUACAUAACUUAUCAACACUGCACAUCAAGAGUACUACUAGUACAACUAUGUGAGGUGACUCAUUAUACAUAAUCUCAAGGAAGAGGGUUUAUUGAAGGACCUCAAUUCACAAGAAGGUGACAAUGAAGAUGUAAAGAGUUACGGUCAGACUUUAUAAUAUGCAGAUAUUUAUAAUUAUAAUUUAUAAGUUAUCAUUAAGGGUUAAUUUGUUUGGCAGGGUGGAGGGUAGGAUUGAAUUUUUCUGCUUUAGGCUGCUCAUACAUAUUAGAGCAUAACUUUGGCUUAAUUUAAUUUAUUUGAGAUCAUUUGGCAAAUGUGUUGGGGACUUUCAUCACUGAAUGGGAUGAGUGAAAGGCUAAUUGUGAUAUACUGCUUUCAACAAAGGAGUCUGCACGAAUGUAUGUAGAAUGUCUGGCAGAGCUUGCUGUUCAUUUAGGCUUCGAUGGGUGGCUAGUAUAUAUUUCGUCAUCUCUGUGCUUAUAAAGUUUCUAUUCUUAUCUAUUUGAAAUUUCUAUUAAUAAUCUGUGUAUCAUUUUCAUUGUGGCAGGCUUUAAGAAUAGAGCCAUAAGAUACAUGUGUUAAAAGAUUGACUAGUUCUAUAUCACAAUAUAUGGUUUGGUACUUCUUUCUACAAUUGAUAUCUUUUGUACAUAUGCUCCAGGUCUUGAUCUGUCAUUCCAGUGGAAUAAUUGAUUAAAUUAAUAAGAAAUUAUUAAGUGUAAUUAUUACUUGUUUUGAUCAUUUUGGUUUUGUAGAUUUGGCUCCAAAGCAUAUGAAUCUUUUGAGUAUAUUGUUUCAAAAGUGCCCAGUCUAAGGCUUCAUGAGCAAUCAACGUACACCCAACAAAAUGGAGUUCAAGCCAGUUUUUUAGUUGACAGUUUUUGCCCUCGACGUUGGAUCGCUUAUAAGUUGCCUGUCUUGGUGUUUUCUGGUGGUGUUGCGGCUGCUUUUGUCCUCUUGCUAUGUGCAGCGACAUUGCAUUUUUGCUGCUAGUUUUUUAUUUUUAUUUUGUUGUAAUGUCCUAUAUUGUUUAUGAGAUUUGUAACUAGUUUUUGGAUCAAUAUAUGUUUUGGCCAUUUAGUCUUUUAUGAUUCUAGUGUUAUAGUCCGGUCAAUAUGGAGUUUUUGUUUGUAUAUGUUUUGGCCACUUAGUCUUAUGUGAUUCUAGUGUCAAUAUUAGUGACUAGAUUGUGUUGUAACAAAUGGAUUGUGACUAUGUAUUUGAUUAUGAUUAAUGAAAAUCAAAGGUAUUUAUUUUUUAAAUUCCAGAG